GGGGUAUUGCACUUACCGAAGACUAUCAAACUCCGAAUGCCGUAUUCUUUUGCUUGGGAGUCAGACUAUGGGUGAUAAGAUUCAUAGUCAAGAGGGCAACAGCCCAGAUCGUCAGCUAAGGUCCCUAAAUGUAAGUUAAGUGGUAAAGGAUGUGGAAUUGCACAGACAACCAGGAUGUUGGCUUAGAAGCAGCCACUCAUUUAAAGAGUGCGUAAUAGCUCACUGGUCGAGUGAUUCUGCGCCGAAAAUUUCCGGGGCUAAAACUUACUACCGAAGCUACGGCAUCAUUAUGAUGGGUAGGGGAGCUUUCUAUGCGGCUUGAAGCAUGACCGUAAGGACAUGUGGACUGCAUAGAAGUGAGAAUGUUGGCAUGAGUAGCGAGAUGUGGGUGAGAAUCCCACAGGCCGUAAACCCAAGGUUUCCAGGGGAAGGUUCGUCCGCCCUGGGUUAGUCAGGACCUAAGCCGAGGCCGAAAGGCGUAGGUGAUGGACAACAGGUUGAUAUUCCUGUACCACCAAUAACCGUUUGAGAAAUGGGAUGACACAGUAGGAUAAGCUAACCGCACUGUUGGUUAUGUGCGGGCAAGUAUUGAGGCAGUUCCGAUAGGCAAAUCCGUCGGAAUAAUGCUGGGGUACGAUGCGGAGCGAAAUUUAGUAGCGAAGUAGCUGAUUUCACACUGUCGAGAAAAGUCUCUAUCGAGGUUAAAGGUGCCUGUACCGCAAACCGACACAGGUGGGUGAGGAGAGUAUCCUAAGGCCAGCGAGAGAACUGUUGUUAAGGAACUCGGCAAAAUGACCCCGUAACUUCGGGAGAAGGGGUGCCUUCGAAAGAAGGCCGCAGAGAAUAGGCCCAAGCGACUGUUUACCAAAAACAUAGGUUUCUGCUAAGUCGCAAGACGAUGUAUAGGAGCUGACGCCUGCCCGGUGCUGGAAGGUUAAGGGGAUCUGUUAGAGCAAUCGAAGCAGUGAACUUAAGCCCCAGUAAACGGCGGCCGUAACUAUAACGGUCCUAAGGUAGCGAAAUUCCUUGUCGGGUAAGUUCCGACCCGCACGAAAGGCGUAACGAUUUGGGCACUGUCUCAACAACAGACUCGGUGAAAUUGUAAUACCGGUGAAGAUGCCGGUUACCUGCGACAGGACGGAAAGACCCCAUGGAGCUUUACUGUAGCUUGACAUUGAGUCUCGGUGCUACAUGUACAGGAUAGGUGGGAGACUAUGAAGCAUGGACGCCAGUCUGUGUGGAGUCAUCCUUGGGAUACCACCCUUGUAGUACUGGGAUUCUAACCAGAGGCCAUGAAUCUGGUCUUGGGACACUGUCAGGUGGACAGUUUGACUGGGGCGGUCGCCUCCCAAAAAGUAACGGAGGCGCUCAAAGGUUCUCUCAGUACGGUCGGAAAUCGUACGAAGAGUGUAAAGGCAAAAGAGAGCUUGAUUGCAAGACAUACAGGUCGAGCAAGGACGAAAGUCG
This 1467-nucleotide ribosomal RNA is filed under the name human gut metagenome. RNAcentral's name for it is "bacterial LSU rRNA". It matches the Rfam family "Bacterial large subunit ribosomal RNA", at positions 923 to 2408 of the family's 2925-position model. The record is from RNAcentral.